This 253-nucleotide ribosomal RNA is filed under the name uncultured bacterium. RNAcentral's name for it is "partial 16S ribosomal RNA". It matches the Rfam family "Bacterial small subunit ribosomal RNA", at positions 524 to 776 of the family's 1533-position model. The record is from RNAcentral.
UACGUAGGGGGCAAGCGUUGUCCGGAUUUAUUGGGCGUAAAGAGCGUGUAGGCGGCCAAGCAGGUCCGCUGUGAAAACUCGAGGCUCAACCUCGAGACGUCGGUGGAAACCGUUUGGCUAGAGUCCGGAAGAGGAGAGUGGAAUUCCCGGUGUAGCGGUGAAAUGCGUAGAGAUCCGGAAGAACACCGGUGGCGAAGGCGGUCUGCUGGGCAGUAGCUGACACUGAGGCGCGACAGCGUGGGGAGCAAACAGG